Molecule: long non-coding RNA, 1693 nt
Filed under: Homo sapiens (human)
Lineage: Eukaryota; Metazoa; Chordata; Mammalia; Primates; Hominidae
Description: HSALNT0124860
Source: RNAcentral
CAGAAUCCUGAGAAAAACAGCAUCUAAGAAAUAUGCAGAGAAAGAGAACUAACAGCAGAGACAAAGCAGUGACUAGACAGAAAAACCAAGAGGUUAUUGCGGCAAGGAAAUGGUCUCAAGGAAGCAACAAAAAAGAGUGUUUCAAGACGAGAGUAAUGACCACAAAACCUAAUGCUGGGAUAAACACAAGUAAGAUAAAAAUCUAAAAAGUGUUCAUUGUGCAACAAGACAGGCAUAGAUUCAGUGGAUCAGUGAAGUAGUGGAGGAGAGUGGCAUGCUCCAUCCAGAUCUCUAUAGGGCCCAAACAUCCAUCCCCAGCUGCUCUGAAUAUCUGUUAGUCCUCAGCUGUGUCCCUUAGUGAGAAUUGUCUUCAGCCAACAGAGGACUUCCUUGCCCAGAGUUAUGCCCUCCCCAGAGGAUGGCCUGUGACCAAAUACUUGCUGAUGUGAGAAUACAAAGAACCUCUUCUCUCAAUUUGAGAUAACUCUGAAAAGCCAUCUUAGUUUCAUAGCUCUUAUAGCUUUAGCUGAGAUUGCAAUUGUACUUGCAGAAUGAGUCAGUUUCUCCCUUUGCCCAAUUCUACCUUCAUCACUUUCUUACAAGUGAAUCUCCCAAGGAUAAUUUCCAAUAAACUUUCUGCUCACAAUUUCUCAUAUCGGAGUCAAUUUCAGGAAAUUUAAUCUAAACUAGCUGGUACAAGAAGUAGUCCUACAAAGUAGACUCUAAAUUGGGUUUUGGAGGUGGAUCUCUCACUGGCAAGCUGGCAAUGAGGAUAGUAGUUGUAGUAUGGAUAGCUCCUGCCAUGCUAUGAUAGUACAAUUGUUAAAACUUUCACUGAUGGUGAGCUUGGAUAGAAUACCAGUAGAAAAGGAUAUGCUGACUAAUGGAAUAUCUCUGACACUUGACAGGAAUGAGUUCAAAUACAUCCUGAAAUUGGGUGGCUAUGGCUGAUUAUCAUUGAAUAAAGAUAAAGAUGGGCUUGAGGUGAGAAAUCACCAAUUAAAGACAAAAUAUGAGAGUCAGAGGGACUUCUUGGCAAGUUUUAUGAAAAUCCUAAUCUCCUAAAGCCAGAGGGAGGAGAGGAUCGGGCUCAUGAUUUAUUGAUAAGAGCAGAAGAACUUCAAAAAGGUUAAAUUUUCAGCUCUGAAAUUUUUUCUGCAUACUGAUAGAACCCUAAUAGGAAAAGCAGAGACCCUGGAAGGGAUAAAUGGUAUUGAAUAUCUUGAGCUCCCAGAGUUCCAUAAAACCAUUGUGCCUGAAGAUGUGGCCCAUUCCCUCUAAUUAAAAUAUAGUGGCUGUCCCCCUUGCUUGAAGAUCAUGCAGAGGCCUCAAAUGCAUCAGCAGCUCAAAAAGCAAUGUUUGCCCUCUUUAAACUGUAUUCCUACUUCCCUGGCAGGCGAUCACAUUAAGGGUUAAAUCCAAGCAAUGAACAAAGGAGAAGCCAGGGCCUGAUGGGGAAGGAACCUAGAAAACUGCAGUUCAAUUCAGGAUCACUUACAACUUCCCUAGGGGAUCAUAACCAUUUGCUCAGUGAGAGGAAAACUUCUGGAUGGGCAGAGCUCCCAGUAAUGGACUUGGUCAGCCAUUUUGUAUGGAACGAGAAACAGCCUGAGACUACUACUGCUAUUCAGUCUUCCAGAAUCCUUGUGCCAAGAAACCAGCAGGGAAGGAAAGGAGGCACCACCCUGGAAGA